Molecule: non-coding RNA, 197 nt
Organism: Jatropha curcas
Lineage: Eukaryota; Viridiplantae; Streptophyta; Magnoliopsida; Malpighiales; Euphorbiaceae
Source: Rfam
AUACCUUUCUCGGCCUUUUGGCUAAGAUCAAGUGUAGUAUCUGUUCUUAUCAGUUUAAUAUCUGAUACGUGGACCAUUGGUCCACAUGAUAUUAAAUUAAUUUUUACAAGGGAGAGAGCCUGCCACGGUAGCUUGCUACUGGGGUUCUCGAGUGUCGCUCAUACGCUGCACUGCUGUACGGGCCAGGCGCACCCUGC